UAAAUUGUAAAAUUUAAAUAUUAAAGUAGUAAUAGUUAUAUUCUUGAAACUUAAAAAAUUUGGCGGUAUUUUAUUCUAAUUAGAGGAAUUUGUUCUAUAAUCGAUAAUCCGCGUUAAAUCUUACUUAAAUUAAUAAUUUGUAUAUCGUUGUCAUCAGAAUAUUUUUGAAAAAUAAAUAAUUUUCUAAAAUUUUAAUUUGAAAUUAUGUCAAAUCAAGAUGCAGUUUAUAUUUAAGAAAGAAAUGAAUUACAAUAAUUUAAAUUAAAUGAAUUAUUAAUUGAAAAAUUAAUUUGAAGGUGGAUUUAAUUGUAAAAUAAUUUUAGUAUAAUUAUUUGAUAUAAGUUUUAAAAUAUGU
Molecule: ribosomal RNA, 355 nt
Filed under: Mesochria cinctipes
Lineage: Eukaryota; Metazoa; Arthropoda; Insecta; Diptera; Anisopodidae
Description: 12S ribosomal RNA
Source: RNAcentral